Molecule: ribosomal RNA, 344 nt
Filed under: uncultured archaeon
Lineage: Archaea
Description: bacterial SSU rRNA
Rfam family: Archaeal small subunit ribosomal RNA
Source: RNAcentral
AGAUACCGGCAGUCUUGGAACUGGGAGAGGUAAACCGUACUUCGGGGGUAGGAGUGAAAUCUUGUAAUCCUCGAGGGACGACCUAUGGCGAAGGCAGUUUACCAGAACAGCUUCGACAGUGAGGGACGAAAGCUGGGGGAGCAAACGGGAUUAGAUACCCCGGUAGUCCCAGCCGUAAACAAUGUGCGUUAGGUGUGUCGGUAACCACGUGUUACUGAUGCGCCGAAGAGAAAUCGUGAAACGCACCACCUGGGAAGUACGGUCGCAAGGCUGAAACUUAAAGGAAUUGGCGGGGGAGCACCACAACAGGUGGAGCCUGCGGUUUAAUUGGAUUCAACGCCGGG